RNAcentral lists this ribosomal RNA (207 nucleotides) under uncultured bacterium. RNAcentral describes it as "partial 16S ribosomal RNA". It matches the Rfam family "Bacterial small subunit ribosomal RNA", at positions 568 to 774 of the family's 1533-position model. The record is from RNAcentral.
CGCGUAGGCGGUUCGACAAGUUGGAUGUGAAAGCCCAGGGCUCAACCCUGGAAUUGCAUUCAAAACUGUCUUACUUGAAUUCGGUAGAGGUUGGUGGAAUUCCCAGUGUAGAGGUGAAACUCGUAGAUAUUGGGAAGAAUAUCCGUGGCGAAGGCGGCCAACUGGACCGACAUUGACGCUGAGGCGCGAAAGCGUGGGGAGCAAACA